This is a non-coding RNA of Mycena latifolia, 95 nucleotides long. Lineage: Eukaryota; Fungi; Basidiomycota; Agaricomycetes; Agaricales; Mycenaceae. The record is from the annotation of a GenBank genome assembly.
UGUGUGAUAGUGUGGUGGUAGCAAGUCCUCCAAUAAUAGUAGAGUAAAGUGAGCAUGUCGGAGGGAAGUCCAGAGUUCAAAUCUCUGCCACACCU